This 467-nucleotide ribosomal RNA is filed under the name uncultured bacterium. RNAcentral describes it as "partial 16S ribosomal RNA". It matches the Rfam family "Bacterial small subunit ribosomal RNA", at positions 29 to 507 of the family's 1533-position model. The record is from RNAcentral.
ACGCACGCUGGCGGCGUGCUUAACACCUGCAAGUCGAACGGAAAGGCCCUGCUUUUGUGGGGUGCUCGAGUGGCGAACGGGUGAGUAACACGUGAGUAACCUGCCCUUGACUUUGGGAUAACUUCAGGAAACUGGGGCUAAUACCGGAUAGGAGCUCCUGCUGCAUGGUGGGGGUUGGAAAGUUUCGGCGGUUGGGGAUGGACUCGCGGCUUAUCAGCUUGUUGGUGGGGUAGUGGCUUACCAAGGCUUUGACGGGUAGCCGGCCUGAGAGGGUGACCGGCCACAUUGGGACUGAGAUACGGCCCAGACUCCUACGGGAGGCAGCAGUGGGGAAUAUUGCACAAUGGGCGAAAGCCUGAUGCAGCAACGCCGCGUGCGGGAUGACGGCCUUCGGGUUGUAAACCGCUUUCGCCUGUGACGAAGCGUGAGUGACGGUAACGGGUAAAGAAGCACCGGCUAACUACGUG